AUCCACCCUCCUCAGCCUCCCAGAGUGCUGGGAUUACAGGCAUGAGCCACCGCACCGGCCUCAAGAUCCAAUUCUAAGAGAACAUAGAGUAGUCAGGCUUCCAAGACUCCAGACACAUCCCAAUGAGGUGCUGCAUGUGGCAGUCUGCCAUUUG
RNAcentral lists this small nuclear RNA (154 nucleotides) under Nomascus leucogenys (northern white-cheeked gibbon). Its description in RNAcentral is "7SK RNA". It matches the Rfam family "7SK RNA", at positions 200 to 331 of the family's 331-position model. From Rfam's summary of the family: 7SK was discovered as an abundant small nuclear RNA in the mid-70s but a possible function has only recently been suggested. Two independent studies have found that 7SK RNA binds the CDK9/cyclin T complex (known as elongation factor P-TEFb). The record is from Rfam by way of RNAcentral. Lineage: Eukaryota; Metazoa; Chordata; Mammalia; Primates; Hylobatidae.